RNAcentral lists this unclassified non-coding RNA (217 nucleotides) under rhizosphere metagenome. RNAcentral describes it as "partial ribosomal RNA internal transcribed spacer region". The record is from RNAcentral.
GAGUUAGGGUCUCCUAGGCCCGAUCUCCCAACCCUUUGUUUACCCAACUUAAGUUGCUUCGGCGGACCCGUCUUCAUUGACCGCCGGAGGAUCGCCGACAGGCGUCUUCUGGCCCGCGUUCGCCGAUAGCCCCAUCAAAACCCUGACAAAUCGUGUCAUAUGUCUAAGUCAUUGAUUAAAUUAAAGCAAAACUUUCAACAACGGAUCUCUUGGUUCU